RNAcentral lists this ribosomal RNA (115 nucleotides) under uncultured bacterium. RNAcentral's name for it is "partial 16S ribosomal RNA". The record is from RNAcentral.
CCUACGGGAGGCAGCAGUGGUGACUCUUACGGGAGGCAGCAGUGGGGAAUCCUGCCCAAUGGGGGAAACCAUGAAGGCGUUACGCCGGUAAAGCAAUGAAUCAGGAAAGAAUAAA